GGGCAUUGGACCAAGGAGAGCGAAAUUGCGCCAAGGAUAUCGGGGUUGCGGAGGUCAACCGCCGAUUGGGCAACAAGCCGCAAGAGAGGAUGAUGCACCGAAGAAUCGGACGAAGCGCCAACCAAUGACGUGCCGGGCAACAGAAUGUCAAUUUGCGUUAUAAUAAUUGUCUAGAUCGGAGUAGAGUGUUUGCUUGUGUGUGCAGGAUUAACUACGAUAACCAGAAAACAUAAAGCAAGGAUACCGGAGUCGAGCUCGAUGGACGUUUAAGAGACCGAAGAAUCAUCGGAGAUGCUGCCGGAACCAUCCGAGAAGAAAUCGGGAACGUGUCGGAAGUUCGCCGAAGAAAUCGUCGGAGGCUCNNNN
RNAcentral lists this long non-coding RNA (366 nucleotides) under Musa acuminata (dwarf banana). RNAcentral describes it as "long non-coding RNA (MACU_LNC007686)". The record is from RNAcentral. Lineage: Eukaryota; Viridiplantae; Streptophyta; Magnoliopsida; Zingiberales; Musaceae.